RNAcentral lists this ribosomal RNA (406 nucleotides) under uncultured bacterium. RNAcentral describes it as "partial 16S ribosomal RNA". It matches the Rfam family "Bacterial small subunit ribosomal RNA", at positions 30 to 526 of the family's 1533-position model. The record is from RNAcentral.
AUUGAACGCUGGCGGCAGGCCUAACACAUGCAAGUCGAACGAGUGGCGGACGGGUGAGUAAUGUCUGGGAAACUGCCCGAUGUAGGGGGAUAACUACUGGAAACGGUAGCUAAUACUGCGUACCAUCGGUUGUGCCCAGAGGGGAUUAGCUAGUAGGUGGGGGAACGGCUCACCUAGGCGACGAUCCCUAGCUGGCCUGAGAGGAUGACAGGCCACACUGGAACUGAGACACGGUCCAGACUCCUACGGGAGGCAGCAGUAGGGAAUAUUGCACAAUGGGCGAAAGCCUGAUGGAGCCAUGCCGCGUGUAUGAAGAAGGCCUUCGGGUUGUAAAGUACUUUCGGCGGGGAGGCGUUACUCAAAGAAGAAGCAACGGCUAACUCCGUGCCAGCAGCCGCGGUAAUUC